UACGAAGGGGGCUAGCGUUGCUCGGAAUACUGGGCGUAAAGGGCUCGUAGGCGGCCAACUAAGUCAGACGUGAAAUCCCUCGGCUUAACCGGGGAACUGCGUCUGAUACUGGAUGGCUAGAGGUUGGGAGAGGGAUGCGGAAUUCCAGGUGUAGCGGUGAAAUGCGUAGAUAUCUGGAGGAACACCGGUGGCGAAGGCGGCAUCCUGGACCAAUUCUGACGCUGAGGAGCGAAAGCCAGGGAGCAAAGCGGG
RNAcentral lists this ribosomal RNA (252 nucleotides) under uncultured bacterium. RNAcentral's name for it is "partial 16S ribosomal RNA". It matches the Rfam family "Bacterial small subunit ribosomal RNA", at positions 524 to 777 of the family's 1533-position model. The record is from RNAcentral.